This is a long non-coding RNA of Apis cerana (Asiatic honeybee), 1911 nucleotides long. RefSeq lists it as uncharacterized. Lineage: Eukaryota; Metazoa; Arthropoda; Insecta; Hymenoptera; Apidae. The record is from RefSeq and is a predicted model, not a curated record.
UUUUGAAAAUUGAAAAUUUUUUUAAAUAAGUUUCUCAUUUACAUUUCUCUUUUAACGCGUCGAACGCGUAAGAAUGGCAUAGUGGAACGAGUUUUUAUAACUUUCAUACGCAAGAUGGCUUCCUUAUGGAUUCUGUUUACGGAGUUGUUCGAACCGUUUAAAAGUUUACCGUUCACGAGACGACAUUCUUGCUUGCGUUACGUCGAUGCGUCUGCUCGUAUAGCAGCAUGGGAAGCUCGCUGUGAUUGAGGGAUCAUUGGGGAGGUUAUCUGGAUGUUCUCAGAAGAGUUCUCUUCUCUUCCAACUUGUUUUACGGGAUUUAAAAGAUGAGAGGUGACUUUUUUCGUGCUUCCUGGAUUUUCCUGCUCAUCAUGAUUUUGAAUAAUAUGGAAUAUCAUUGGAUUUAUCGUUUCACAUAUGCAAUGAGAUAUGUGAAAUUUAAUAAUUAAUAUUUUAAAAUAUAUAUUAAGAAAGAUGUAAGAUGCUUUUGAAAUCGGAUGUAUAUGUUAGAAUGCAAAGAUACAUUUGAGAGUAAAAUUUUGUUAUUUUUGAGAAUAUUUUUUGUAAAUGGAAAUUUCAAAGAGAAUUUUUAUUCUCAAUGCAACGUUGCGAAAAAUAAUUCUUAAAAGUAAUUUUUCAGUAGAUUUAUUCUCAGAUAUAUUUAUAUUCUUAAAACAAUAAAAAAAAUUUAAAUAUAUCCCGAAAUUUAGUAUUUUAUGUAUCUAUGUAUCUAUGCUUCAUUAUUAGAUAAAUCAAAAGAUUUUGUUCUAUAUUUCACGUACACAAUAACCUUUUCGGUACGAAUGUCGACUUUAGUCGACAAACACCGAAUACACACGACCGAUCGUUUCAGUGCGCAGUAUACUGUGGCAAGCAUCGCGUCGCGUCGCGUCGUAUCGAAGAGGUUAAGAUUAAUUAACUAAUUUGAAAUUGCGAGAAAUAAUUUUUAAUUAUUUAAUAUAAUAAAAUAUUAAUUGUAAAAAAAGUAUACUUUAUUAGAAGAAACAAAUAUUUCAUUAAAAACAUAAAAAUAUAUUACGUUCUCUCAAUUUUUCACGCAUCAAAGUUUUCGUUUGAAAGUAUUGUAUUACUUCUACUUACAUUUUCAGUUCCAUUACGGUUACAAAAACUUCGAAUUCUUUUUCCUUCUUUUCAUCAUUUUUUCGCGAUAUGGACAAGGAUGUUCAUAUUGUCGCCAAUUUCUAAAAUAAAUAUAUAUGUAUCGCGAUCUAGAGGAAUGGUCGAAGAACGUCGAAACGAAAUUACGAUUUCACGUGUGACGAUGAAACUAUUUUAUUUCUUCUCUGCGAGACUACGUAGCCAGUGAAUUUGCUGACAUUCGACGGUCGUAAAGUUUUUACACGAAACAGCGUAAAUUUAGCGGAGAGAAAGAAUAUUUUUGAGAAUAUUAUACAUGAAUUGAAUUAUACAUCGAAUAAAAUUAAAUAUUGUGCGUAUAAUUGAUUUCAAUACGACAACAAAAUAGAGAUAAGAGAGAGGAGAUUAACGCAGGAUACGCAAAUCAAGAAAAGAAUCACGCGCCAAGACUCUUUCCAAUUUACGCGGAUUCGUUCGACGGCUUUAAUGCAAUCAUACUUUCGAACGUGCAAGUUUAACUUCUUGCGAAGUUAAUUUUCUCCGGUUGCACGUCGUUGAUUCCGGGAAGAAUCGAAUAAAUGUACAAGAUGAAUGCGGAAAGAGGGGACUUAGGCGGACAAGUGUGGAAUUUUUAUUCGUUUCUGUAUUUAUUUUAUCGAUUUUCUUCAUUGAUUAAAAGCUACUUGUAUUUUUUUUUUUAAAUAGAACAUAAAAUAGCGAUUUAUUGAAAUUCCUUGCGAAUUGAUAUUUGUUUUGAUUAUUUAAUGAAUUAUUAAAAAAAAUUGAAAUAAAAUAGUUUUUAGAGUAUUGUUA